RNAcentral lists this ribosomal RNA (945 nucleotides) under uncultured bacterium. Its description in RNAcentral is "bacterial SSU rRNA". It matches the Rfam family "Bacterial small subunit ribosomal RNA", at positions 522 to 1478 of the family's 1533-position model. The record is from RNAcentral.
AAUACGAAGGGACCUAGCGUAGUUCGGAAUUACUGGGCUUAAAGAGUUCGUAGGUGGUUGAAAAAGUUGGUGGUGGAAUCCCAGAGCUUAACUCUGGAACUGCCAUCAAAACUUUUCAGCUAGAGUAUGAUAGAGGAAAGCAGAAUUUCUAGUGUAGAGGUGAAAUUCGUAGAUAUUAGAAAGAAUACCAAUUGCGAAGGCAGCUUUCUGGAUCAUUACUGACACUGAGGAACGAAAGCAUGGGUAGCGAAGAGGAUUAGAUACCCUCGUAGUCCAUGCCGUAAACGAUGUGUGUUAGACGUUGGAAAUUUAUUUUCAGUGUCGCAGCGAAAGCGACAAACACACCGCCUGGGGAGUACGACCGCAAGGUUAAAACUCAAAUGAAUUGACGGGGACCCGCACAAGUAGUGGAGCAUGUGGUUUAAUUCGAAGAUACGCGCAGAACCUUACCAACACUUGACAUGUUCGUCGCGACUUUAAGAGAUUAAAGUUUUCGGUUCGGCCGGACGAAACACAGGUGCUGCAUGGCUGUCGUCAGCUCGUGUCGUGAGAUGUUGGGUUAAGUCCCGCAACGAGCGCAACCCUCACUUUUAGUUGCCAUCAUUUAGUUGGGCACUCUGAAAGAACUGCCAGUGAUAAGCUGGAGGAAGGUGGGGAUGACGUCAAGUCCUCAUGGCCCUUACGUGUUGGGCUACACACGUGCUACAAUGGUAUCUACAACAGGAAGCAAAACUGCGAAGUUAAGCAAAUCCUUAAAAGAUACCUCAGUUCGGAUUGCACUCUGCAACUCGAGUGCAUGAAGCUGGAAUUACUAGUAAUCGUGGAUCAGCGUGCCACGGUGAAUGCGUUCCCGGGUCUUGUACACACCGCCCGUCACACCAUGGGAGUUGGUUCUACCUUAAGGCAAGGUUUCAAACCCUUGACCACGGUAUAGUCAGCGACUGG